This 451-nucleotide ribosomal RNA is filed under the name uncultured bacterium. Its description in RNAcentral is "bacterial SSU rRNA". It matches the Rfam family "Bacterial small subunit ribosomal RNA", at positions 29 to 524 of the family's 1533-position model. The record is from RNAcentral.
AACGAACGCUGGCGGCAUGCCUAACACAUGCAAGUCGAACGAGACCUUCGGGUCUAGUGGCGCACGGGUGCGUAACGCGUGGGAAUCUGCCCUUGGGUACGGAAUAACAGCGAGAAAUUGCUGCUAAUACCGUAUAAUGACGUAAGUCCAAAGAUUUAUCGCCCAGGGAUGAGCCCGCGUAGGGUUAGCUUGUUGGUGAGGUAAAAGCUCACCAAGGCGACGAUCCUUAGCUGGCUGAGAGGAUGAUCAGCCACACUGGGACUGAGACACGGCCCAGACUCCUACGGGAGGCAGCAGUGGGGAAUAUUGGACAAUGGGCGAAAGCCUGAUCCAGCAAUGCCGCGUGAGUGAUGAAGGCCGUUAGGGUUGUAAAGCUCUUUUGCCCGGGAUGAUAAUGACAGUACCGGGAGAAGAAGCCCCGGCCUAACUUCGUGCCAGCAGCCGCGGUAAC